GACGAACGCUGGCGGCGUGCUUAACACAUGCAAGUCGAACGGAAAGGCCCUGCUUUUGUGGGGUGCUCGAGUGGCGAACGGGUGAGUAACACGUGAGUAACCUGCCCUUGACUUUGGGAUAACUUCAGGAAACUGGGGCUAAUACCGGAUAGGAGCUCCUGCUGCAUGGUGGGGGUUGGAAAGUUUCGGCGGUUGGGGAUGGACUCGCGGCUUAUCAGCUUGUUGGUGGGGUAGUGGCUUACCAAGGCUUUGACGGGUGGCCGGCCUGAGAGGGUGACCGGCCACAUGGGGACUGAGAUACGGCCCAGACUCCUACGGGAGGCAGCAGUGGGGAAUAUUGCACAAUGGGCGGAAGCCUGAUGCAGCAACGCCGCGUUCGGGAUGACGGCCUUCGGGUUGUAAACCGCUUUCGCCUGUGACGAAGCGUGAGUGACGGUAAUGGGUAAAGAAGCACCGGCUAACUACGUG
RNAcentral lists this ribosomal RNA (468 nucleotides) under uncultured bacterium. RNAcentral describes it as "partial 16S ribosomal RNA". It matches the Rfam family "Bacterial small subunit ribosomal RNA", at positions 28 to 507 of the family's 1533-position model. The record is from RNAcentral.